This 468-nucleotide ribosomal RNA is filed under the name uncultured bacterium. RNAcentral describes it as "partial 16S ribosomal RNA". It matches the Rfam family "Bacterial small subunit ribosomal RNA", at positions 28 to 507 of the family's 1533-position model. The record is from RNAcentral.
GACGAACGCUGGCGGCGUGCUUAACACAUGCAAGUCGAACGGAAAGGCCCUGCUUUUGUGGGGUGCUCGAGUGGCGAACGGGUGAGUAACACGUGAGUAACCUGCCCUUGACUUUGGGAUAACUUCAGGAAACUGGGGCUCAUACCGGAUAGGAGCUCCUGCUGCAUGGUGGGGGUUGGAAAGUUUCGGCGGUUGGGGAUGGACUCGCGGCUUAUCAGCUUGUUGGUGGGGUAGUGGCUUACCAAGGCUUUGACGGGUAGCCGGCCUGAGCGGGUGACCGGCCACAUUGGGACUGGGAUACGGCCCAGACUCCUCCGGGAGGCAGCAGUGGGGAAUAUUGCACAAUGGGCGGAAGCCUGAUGCAGCAACGCCGCGUGCGGGAUGACGGCAUUCGGGUUGUAAUCCGCUUUCGCCUGUGACGAAGCGUGAGUGACGGUAAUGGGUAAAGAAGCACCGGCUAACUACGUG